Molecule: ribosomal RNA, 403 nt
Filed under: bacterium
Lineage: Bacteria
Description: partial 16S ribosomal RNA
Rfam family: Bacterial small subunit ribosomal RNA
Source: RNAcentral
UGGGGAAUAUUGUACAAUGGGGGAAACCCUGAUGCAGCGACGCCGCGUGAACGAAGAAGGUAUUCGUAUCGUAAAGUUCUGUCCUAUGGGAAGAUAAUGACAGUACCAUAGAAGAAAGCUCCGGCUAAAUACGUGCCAGCAGCCGCGGUAAUACGUAUGGAGCGAGCGUUGUCCGGAAUUAUUGGGCGUAAAGGGUACGCAGGCGGUUUAAUAAGUCGAAUGUUAAAGAUCGGGGCUCAACCCCGCAAAGCAUUGGAAACUGAUAAACUUGAGUAGUGGAGAGGAAAGUGGAAUUCCUAGUGUAGUGGUGAAAUACGUAGAUAUUAGGAGGAAUACCAGUAGCGAAGGCGACUUUCUGGACACAAACUGACGCUGAGGUACGAAAGCGUGGGGAGCAAACAGG